Regulatory RNA element from Patagioenas fasciata monilis, 46 nucleotides. It matches the Rfam family "Histone 3' UTR stem-loop". Rfam says of the family: The mRNAs of metazoan histone genes lack a poly-A tail. 3' end processing occurs at a site between a highly conserved stem-loop (modelled by this family) and a purine rich region around 20 nts downstream (the histone downstream element, or HDE). NCBI's taxonomy places the organism in Eukaryota, Metazoa, Chordata, Aves, Columbiformes, Columbidae. The record is from Rfam.
UCAAAGGCUCUUUUAAGAGCCACCCACUUUUUUCUUUAAAAGAGCU